GUUGGGAGAAGUCUGGAAGAGAUUCGGAGAAUAGUCGACCACUGUAGAGAAUCGGCUGAAAGUGAAGCUCAGAGAGCAUUUGGAGUAGUCCGAUAGAUGAAUGGAGAAGGUCAUGAUUGGAGAAGUCCGAUAGAUGAAUGGAGAAGGUCAUGAUUGGAGAAGUCCGGAUGGUAUUAUGAAAGCUCGGACGAUCAGGGAAGUUCGGAAAGAUGCCACACAAGGUCGGAAGCCGGAAGAGCCCUGGAAGAGUCGGCCUUUUACGAACUUCGACUGGGGUU
This 278-nucleotide long non-coding RNA is filed under the name Elaeis guineensis (African oil palm). Its description in RNAcentral is "long non-coding RNA (EGUI_LNC054808)". The record is from RNAcentral. Lineage: Eukaryota; Viridiplantae; Streptophyta; Magnoliopsida; Arecales; Arecaceae.